This 3243-nucleotide long non-coding RNA is filed under the name Ananas comosus (pineapple). RNAcentral describes it as "long non-coding RNA (ACOM_LNC009403)". The record is from RNAcentral. Lineage: Eukaryota; Viridiplantae; Streptophyta; Magnoliopsida; Poales; Bromeliaceae.
GCCCCCUAGGGUUGAGUGGGUGGUUAGUUGAAUAGUAUAAUCGAACGGAUGAAAAUAAUAAAAGAGGUGAAUCUAACGGCAGAAAAUUUAAUAGCACCAAAUACUUCGUGCAAUCGAUAGUAUUCCAGCCGGACUAUAUAUAUAUAUAUAUAUAUAUGCUAGGGCAACUAUACUCUUAUGAGUAUAGAGCCCUUCAUACUUAUAAGUUGUUUCCAAUGAUGGAGCUUCCGAAUCAACGAUCCACUCCGUUAAAUAUGAUCUAGAGUAUUUGAAACUUCUAGAAAAUAAAUUUUGCAAUUUUUCGAAAUCUUAAAAAGUUCAUCAAAUGAGUAUAAAAUGAAUGGUCAAAAUCGAACGAUGUCUUAAAAAUGGAUGAUCGAAUCCUUCAAUUUAAGAUCGGAGUUAUUGAUCUUUAUCUAUGUAGUGAUUAGAAUUUUCUAUCAAAAAUUCAACUGAUUUCGAUUCUUUUACACCGUUAAACUAGUAAGUAUUUCAUAUCGGCCAUUAAAAAUUGUCAAUUUUGUGACCUUCUGAUCGUAAGGUAAAUGAUGUCGAAAAUUAUAAAAUUUGAUUUCUAGACGUUUUAAAUGCUCUAAAUAAUGUUUAACGAUAUGGAUCGUCGAUUCGAAAGCUCUAUCAUCAAAAACAACUUAUGAGUACGAGGGCGAUCGUACUCAUAAAAAUAUAGUAGCCGGACUAUAUAUAUAUAUAUAUAUAUAUAUAUAUNNNNNNNNNNNNNNNNNNNNNNNNNUUCCAAAUUGACGAUCGGCUCCGUUAAAUAUGAUCUAAACCAUUUAAACUAUCUAGAAAUCAGAUUUCACGCACUUUCAAUAUUGUUCUUUUAUCCAUCUAGUGAACAGAAACUGAAUGGCUGAAAAUAAAUAUUCUUUAAAAAAUGAUGAUAGGAGUCAUGUAAUCAAGAUCAAGAGUAUAGAUCUUAUUUUAAAUAGUUUAAAGAAUUUUCUAACAAAAAUUCAAUUGAUUUGGAUAUCUUUAUGCCGUUAAACGAGAAAACGUCUCUUAUCCACCAUUAAAAUUAUAAAUUUUGAAACCCUUUGAUCAUUAGGCAAAUGAUGUCGAAAAGAUUUGAAAUUUGAUUUCUAAAUACUUUAAGUGGUAUAGAUCAUGUUCAACGGAGCCGAUUGUCAAUUUGGAAGCUCUAUCAUCGAAAACAACUCGAUAGUAAAAUGCUCCGUUUACUAUCGAGAGUAUUCUAGCUCAACUCUAUAUAUAUAUAUAUAUAUAUAUAGUGCGUCUAAUAUACUUUCGAAAGUACGGGAACCUCCGUGCUUGUAAGUUAUUUUCGAUGAUAGGAUAUCCGAUUUGACGAUCGGCUCCGUUAGGUAUAAUCUAUCCUAUUGAAACUAUCUAGAAACCAAAUUUUAUAAUUUUUCGACAUCAUUUACUAAGCGAUCAAAAUGUCCCAAAAAUAACUAUUUUAAUGGCCGAUGCGCCACGUUUUUAAGUUCAACGGUGUAGAAGUAUCCAAAUUACAUGAAAAUUUAAUAGAAAAUUCUACUUAACGUCGUCAAUAGCAAGAUCAAUACUUCCAAUUUGAAAUUUGAGUCCUUUAUCAUUGUUUUUUUAUGAGAUUUUUAUUUUCAGCCGUUCAUUUUGAGGCUACUCAUUCACUAGACAAACAAAGUCAAAAGAUUAUGAAAAUUAGUUUCUAGAUAGUUCCAAUAGCGUAGAUCAUGUCUAACGAAACUGAUCGCCGAAUCGGAUGUCCCAUCAUCUAAAACAACUUACAAGCACGGAGGCUUCCGUACUUUCGAAAGCAUAGGAGCCUAGCUCUCUCUCUCUCUCUCUCUCUCUCUCUCUCUCUCUCUAUAUAAUUAAAUUUAUAUAUAUAUAUUAAUAUGUAGAUCUGGCUGGUAUACAAUUGAUAUUAGCACUAGGGAAUUUGUUUGUUUCAACGUAAGUAGACUUGGGUGAGAGUAGACUUGAGUUGAGUUAGAGUUGGUUGAAAUAGUUUCACUUGUCGGACUGUUUUUUUUAAUUGUGAAGUGCAGUUCUGCAGUUUGUUGUUUAUUUAGUAGGAGUAGUAUAUAACAAGUGCAGCUCUCCCCCGGUAUCGUUACCUCCAAAGCCGAUUCAUUGUAUUUUGUAACUUAUAUGAAUAAUAAUUAUAAUAAAUAAAAUUAAAUUAUUUUAUGUAUAUAAUUAAUUUAUAUGUUUAUAAAAAAAAUUUAAAAAUUAUAUUUAUUUGUUCUGUAUAUUAAAUUACUCUAAAUAUGCCACACGAAAAUUAAUUUCUAAAGUUAAAAAAUUAUUAACAUUUAACAAAUUCAUUUUUCAUCAUUUUCUAAAUAUAUAAAUUAAACAAAAAAUAUAUUAAAGCUUACCUAAUCAAAUUUGAUCAUAUUUUAGAAGAGAUAACCCUAACACAUUAAUCUAUUCUUGCAUUUUUUUCACUUCACCGGAAUUGACUUCGCCCCAUAGGAGGGCGAAGUCAAGUUCAUUAUUUUAGGUGAACUGGACUUUCGAGCGUAAUAAAAUUACGGUGAACCAAACAGCGGAAGUGGUCAGUUUUCACUGAAAAACACUUCCCCCGUCCCAUUUCCACCCCACUUCCCUCGAAACAAACAAGCCCUAAGCGUUUGGUGUUAUCAUGAUUUUCACCGAUAGAUUUAAUCCCUUGACUAUUUUCACCCAUUAGAUUAUAUUAUUAAACCAAUAACUUACUCAACCUUAGGGAGCCCACAUCAUCUUAACCGUACAUUUUUUCAUCUAACAGCCGAAAACUUAAUAGCACCAAUAACUUGGUGCUAUUAAGUUUUUUACCCUUGGAUUAAAAGAAGUGCGGUUAGGAAGAUGUGGGCCCUCUAGGGUUGAGUGGGUGGUUAGUUAAAUAGUAUAAUUGAACGGAUGAAAAUGAUAAAAGAGGUAAAUCUAACGGCAGAAAAUUUGAUAGCACCAAAUAUUUCGUGCUAUUAAUAGUAUCUCAGCCGGACUAUAUAUAUAUAUAUAUAUAUAUAGAGAGAGAGAGAGAGAGAGAGAGAGAGAGAGAGAGAGAGAGAGAGAGAGAGAGAGAGAGAGUGUGUGUGUGUGUGUGUGUGUUAGGCUCCUAUGCUUUUGAAAGUAUGGAAGCCCCCGUACUUGUAUGUUGUUUUCAAUAAUGGGACAUCUGAUUCAUCGAUCAGUUCCGUUAGAUAUGAUCUACGCUAUUGGAACUAGCUAGAAAACAAAUUUCAUAAUUUUUUUGACUCUAGUACAUAUUUUUUUCCUUCAAAAUGCUAUAUG